UAAUACGUAGGUGGCAAGCGUUGUCCGGAUUUAUUGGGUUUAAAGGGUGCGUAGGCGGUUCUAUAAGUCAGUGGUGAAAUCCGGCAGCUCAACUGUCGAUGUGCCAUUGAUACUGCAGAACUUGAGUACAGACGAGGUAGGCGGAAUUGACGGUGUAGCGGUGAAAUGCUUAGAUAUCGUCAAGAACACCGAUAGCGAAGGCAGCUUACUAGACUGUAACUGACGCUGAUGCACGAAAGUGUGGGGAUCAAACAGGAUUAGAUACCCUGGUAGUCCACACUGUAAACGAUGAUUACUCGAUGUUAGCGAUACACAGUUAGCGUCUUAGCGAAAGCGAUAAGUAAUCCACCUGGGGAGUACGCCGGCAACGGUG
Molecule: ribosomal RNA, 373 nt
Filed under: uncultured bacterium
Lineage: Bacteria
Description: bacterial SSU rRNA
Rfam family: Bacterial small subunit ribosomal RNA
Source: RNAcentral